Molecule: ribosomal RNA, 413 nt
Filed under: uncultured microorganism
Description: bacterial SSU rRNA
Rfam family: Archaeal small subunit ribosomal RNA
Source: RNAcentral
GCGCACCAGGCGCGAAACCUCCGCAAUACACGAAAGUGUGACGGGGCCAUCCCGAGUGCCGUCCGCUGAGGACGGCUUUUCCCCAGUGUACAUAGCUGGGGGAAUAAGGAGAGGGCAAGCCUGGUGUCAGCCGCCGCGGUAAUACCAGCUCUCCGAGUGGUGGGGACGCUUAUUGGGCCUAAAGCAUCCGUAGCCGGCUAGGCAAGUCCUCCGUUAAAAUCCAACGAUUCAAUCGUUGGGCUGCGGGGGAUACUGUCCAGCUUGGGGGCGGGAGAGGCCGACGGUAUUCCCGGGGUAGGGGCGAAAUCCUAUAAUCCCGGGAGGACCACCAGUGGCGAAGGCUGUCGGCUAGAACGCGCCCGACGGUGAGGGAUGAAAGCUGGGGGAGCGAACCGGAUUAGAUACCGUGUAGU